RNAcentral lists this ribosomal RNA (252 nucleotides) under uncultured bacterium. Its description in RNAcentral is "partial 16S ribosomal RNA". It matches the Rfam family "Bacterial small subunit ribosomal RNA", at positions 524 to 776 of the family's 1533-position model. The record is from RNAcentral.
UACGUAGGGGGCAAGCGUUAUCCGGAAUUAUUGGGCGUAAAGGGUGCGUAGGCGGUUUAAAAAGUCUUAGGUGAAAGGCUACGGCUCAACCGUAGUAAGCCAAGGAAACAUUUAGACUUGAGUGCAGGAGAGGAGAGUGGAAUUCCUAGUGUAGCGGUGAAAUGCGUAGAUAUUAGGAGGAACACCAGUGGCGAAGGCGACUCUCUGGACUGUAACUGACGCUGAGGCACGAAAGCGUGGGGAGCGAACAGG